GCAACACCACUAGCGGCGGCCGGGGUAAUACGUAGGGGGGAAGCUGUACGCUGAAUUACGUGGCGUAAAGCGGGGGCAGGCGGUUUGCUAAGGCCGAUGUGAAAUCCCCGGGCUCAGCCUGGGAACUGCAUUGGUGACUGGCAGGCUAGAGUAGGGCAGAGGGGGGUAGAAGUCCACGUGUAGCAGUGAAAUGCGUAGAGAUGUGGAGGAAUACCGAUGGCGAAGGCAGCCCCCUGGGCCAAUACUGACGCUCAUGCACGAAAGCGUGGGGAGCAAACAGGAUUAGAUACCCGGGUAGUC
RNAcentral lists this ribosomal RNA (300 nucleotides) under uncultured Bacillus sp. RNAcentral describes it as "bacterial SSU rRNA". It matches the Rfam family "Bacterial small subunit ribosomal RNA", at positions 495 to 795 of the family's 1533-position model. The record is from RNAcentral. Lineage: Bacteria; Bacillati; Bacillota; Bacilli; Caryophanales; Bacillaceae.